RNAcentral lists this ribosomal RNA (467 nucleotides) under uncultured bacterium. RNAcentral's name for it is "partial 16S ribosomal RNA". It matches the Rfam family "Bacterial small subunit ribosomal RNA", at positions 28 to 507 of the family's 1533-position model. The record is from RNAcentral.
GACGAACGCUGGCGGCGUGCUUAACACAUGCAAGUCGAACGGAAAGGCCCUGCUUUUGUGGGGUGCUCGAGUGGCGAACGGGUGAGAACACGUGAGUAACCUGCCCUUGACUUUGGGAUAACUUCAGGAAACUGGGGCUAAUACCGGAUAGGAGCUCCUGCUGCAUGGUGGGGGUUGGAAAGUUUCGGCGGUUGGGGAUGGACUCGCGGCUUAUCAGCUUGUUGGUGGGGUAGUGGCUUACCAAGGCUUUGACGGGUAGCCGGCCUGAGAGGGUGACCGGCCACAUUGGGACUGAGGUACGGCCCAGACUCCUACGGGAGGCAGCAGUGGGGAAUAUUGCACAAUGGGCGGAAGCCUGAUGCAGCAACGCCGCGUGCGGGAUGACGGCCUUCGGGUUGUAAACCGCUUUCGCCUGUGACGAAGCGUGAGUGACGGUAAUGGGUAAAGAAGCACCGGCUAACUACGUG